This 447-nucleotide long non-coding RNA is filed under the name Ricinus communis (castor bean). RNAcentral describes it as "long non-coding RNA (RCOM_LNC001418)". The record is from RNAcentral. Lineage: Eukaryota; Viridiplantae; Streptophyta; Magnoliopsida; Malpighiales; Euphorbiaceae.
AGCCGGCGCCCAGAGAGCAAUGCUCGACCAGGGACCUUUACUCCGGCAACCACAAAUCACUAAGCCCAGAGAGCGAUGCUCGACCAGGGCAGGUCCUAAUCUUUCUUUCUCAAAAUUUUUACCUCUUUACCCUUUUCCUAUCUCUCUCAUAUUAUAUUGGAACACUCAUCCAACUCCUAUGUUCUACUGCCGUCCCAUCCUGAGUCAUCAUGCAAUAUUAAAAUUGGUGAUAAAGGAAAAACAUAUUCAAAUAAUACUUAAAAGCAUCAUGAAAAUAAUGAUAAUAAUUAAAUGAAAAAUUAAAAUUGCAAAUGAACAAUCACGGUAGCAAAUCAAAUUUUAUGCAUGACACGUGCAUAAGCGAUAUAUGACUUUAACUCACAGGUUUGGCGACCUCCUAGCUCUGCUCCGGUGCCUCGGUUGGAGCGAGCCGAACGAACUGACAAU